This 253-nucleotide ribosomal RNA is filed under the name uncultured bacterium. Its description in RNAcentral is "partial 16S ribosomal RNA". It matches the Rfam family "Bacterial small subunit ribosomal RNA", at positions 524 to 776 of the family's 1533-position model. The record is from RNAcentral.
UACGAAGGGGGCUAGCGUUGCUUGGAAUUACUGGGCGUAAAGCGCACGUAGGCGGCUUUCUAAGUCGGGGGUGAAAUCCUGGAGCUCAACUCCAGAACUGCCUUCGAUACUGGAAAGCUCGAGUCCGGGAGAGGUGAGUGGAACUGCGAGUGUAGAGGUGAAAUUCGUAGAUAUUGGGAGGAACACCGGUGGCGAAGGCGGCGACCUGGGUAGAUACUGACGCUGAGGUGCGAAAGCGUGGGGAGCAAACAGG